RNAcentral lists this ribosomal RNA (450 nucleotides) under uncultured bacterium. Its description in RNAcentral is "bacterial SSU rRNA". It matches the Rfam family "Bacterial small subunit ribosomal RNA", at positions 29 to 526 of the family's 1533-position model. The record is from RNAcentral.
AACGAACGCUGGCGGCAGGCUUAACACAUGCAAGUCGAACGCUCCGCAAGGAGAGUGGCAGACGGGUGAGUAACGCGUGGGAAUCUACCCAUCUCUACGGAACAACUCCGGGAAACUGGAGCUAAUACCGUAUACGUCCUUCGGGAGAAAGAUUUAUCGGGGAUGGAUGAGCCCGCGUUGGAUUAGCUAGUUGGUGGGGUAAAGGCCUACCAAGGCGACGAUCCAUAGCUGGUCUGAGAGGAUGAUCAGCCACAUUGGGACUGAGACACGGCCCAAACUCCUACGGGAGGCAGCAGUGGGGAAUAUUGGACAAUGGGCGCAAGCCUGAUCCAGCCAUGCCGCGUGAGUGAUGAAGGCCCUAGGGUUGUAAAGCUCUUUCACCGAUGAAGAUAAUGACGGUAGUCGGAGAAGAAGCCCCGGCUAACUUCGUGCCAGCCGCCGCCGUAACAC